AGGUGGUGGGAGAUCAGAGCAGCUGUCCCGGACCUCAAUCCAGAUUCAGCAGGGACUCAGCACAGGUAAAGGCCCAGGAAGGCGACAAGUUUUCAGCACACUAUGACGAUUAAGAGGCAGAUUGUUGUGUUUCAUCCUGGUUGAAGCACGGUGCGCAUCUCUGAAGGGAAGGUGCAGGGCUGACUUUGCAGCCUUUCCAGGAGACGCUCCAGAGUCGGGCAGUGGAGGCUUCAAAGGCUGUAUGAUUUUAGUCUGAAUUUCGUUUGCCUGGAAGCACCUACCACCCAGGCACAGCGCUGCUCACUGAGCUUCUGGCACAGAUGCGCUCAGAGCAAAGGACAUCCAGCAGAGAUGGAAGAUGCUGGGGCAGGAAGAUGGGGAGUGCUAGCAGAGAGCCGGCUUUUCCGAGUCCUGCUAUGAACUGCUGUUGAUGCUGCAACGCCAGGGUUGGAGGGGCAAAUUGUCCAAUGAAUUCUUGACCUAUUGAAAGACUCUCUACCUCCACUGGGUUCACAAACAGUCAGCAGCCCUCCGCCAUGCAGGCUGACUGGCUAAAUAUCAGCAGACAAGGAUGUCCAGUUGAUGGGUGAAGUAUUCUGGGAUUUCCUAACCUCCAAGACCCCAUGGAAUCCAUAGGGAAGCUGUUGUCCUGCACCUACCUGCCUAGGAGCUAACUAUAUGAAUGGAAAAUGCCUUACCUCAGUGCUCCAAAAUGUUCCCAAACUUCAUCUUACAGUAAAGCUAAGUGGAGCAGGAAGGAGGAUAUGUUUGCUCAGCUGAUCCCAGAAACACCUAAAGAUGUCAGUCCAGUCAGGCCUGUGAUCUCAGCUCCGUAUCUCACUACUUUCUAUGUAUUAAGCAAGGGUGUAAAACUUACUCAAGGGAGUUCGGGGGAAAAAGCAAGAAAAUUGUUUCUUUUGGAUGAAACUUUAAAGCAAGGUCUACCAGUCCAACUCCUGUGACCUGAUCCCAUAGCGUUUGCAGAGGCCACAUCACAGCCUCUAAAUCUUGUUUACCUAGCCAGAAUCACAUGUGUGCAGAAUGUCUUCCCACUUCAGUAACCCUUUGCUACUUGAGAGCACUCUUCUGUGAGAGGGAGAAAUCUGGAGGACCCAACCCAAAAUCAAGUCACCAAUAUGGAGAUGAGCCCAAAUGGCAUUAGUAGGAAUGCAACAUUUUACCUUUUCCUGGUUCUCUGGUGCAAAGUCAUGCAAUAUGGUCAAGUUGCUGGAGUAUAACCUUUUAAUGGAGGUUUACAGCAACGGUGUGGAAAGCCAGAGAAAUCCUGCAGGCUCAGUGGGUUGCAGGUCCCGAUAUGAGAACGCAGAGUGUGCCAGCUGGCUUCUACAGUGACGGGAAGGACACUCAGGGAGGCCUUCCUUAAAGCCCUGUAGCGACACAUAUACCAUCCAUUUGGAUUUUCAUCUGCUGCACCUUUUCUUGGUACUUCUGCUAUCUUGCUUAUUUUGGAAUACUCAAGAUACUGCUUCCUGUUUGCAUUCUGAUUCCCCUGUCGCCUCAUGGGAAAUGCAAAGAGGCUGGGGUCUGCCCAAGUGUAGCCGAGGGCAGAACUUGGCACGUGGAGUCAUUUCACAUGCUGUUGAUUUCAAUCUGCUCAAAGCCCCAGGGAGAGGAGAAUCAGUCCAUACUGCACAGUUCAUGACCUCAGAAGUAGACAGAGACUAAGUUCAAAUGAAGGGGGAAAAAAAACACUGGAGAAGUCAGAACUGAGCAAGAACCAAGGGAUUUGGCAUGAGAAAUUAUCUCAGUGGAAAACUAAGUAAAAGGGAAAAGCUGGCUUGAUUUGUUCAAAAGUAACAUUAUCCAGGGAGAUGAGAAAGAAAACUACUGACAGGAAAAUCUCUCUUUUGUGUGAUUGUGCUGGAGUGAAGGCCUCCUGGAAAACGACUGCGAAGCUCUGUGAAGAAGUCAUGCUUUUAGAAUCCUGGAAUAUAAAUUUGUGCCAUGCAAUUGCACAAGUCCUCCCUUACAGCGUCCCACUCGGGGCUCUGUAUCGUAAUGUAUUGCUAGGCUUUAUAGCCCAGAGAUUUAAUGCAUGUGGUUAAGUGUCCAAUGUCCAUACAUCAUUUUAGUAGUUAGUGGGAGGUGCGUCCCCAAGAGUUGGACAAAGAUUGCUGCCAAAGGGUGUGAGGCGAAAUAUUUUGGCCCAUUAACAAAGCUCACGUUAAGAAAUACAAACUUGGUGUAAAGAUGCUGACAGCCUGGAGGAACAUUGGAGAAGAAAACUGAAAAAUACUGAAAUAGGAGGAGAGUUCUAGGAAAAAACAGCAAAAGCGUGACAUCUAGGAGACACUGCUUUCUGCAGCUAUUCGAGGGUGAGAACAAAGAAUGGGACUUAGAGUUGCCCAGGAAAGGUGCAAGAACAACAAACUGCGUGGGGUAAAGAACAGUGAAAGUCAGAGCCUGUAAAAGAGAAGACAGGUGCCGCUUGACUCCUGCUGGGUUUUCUGAGGGAAGAAAGCUCGAUUGUUUGUGGUUUCAAAAGACCCUGUUGGAAGCACUAGUGAAUGCAAGGCAGAUUGUGUUUCUGCACCAGGUGGAACCUAACAAAGUAGGUUCCUCCCUCACGUUUCCGAUUCCACAUCUCCAGCCAGAUAUGGCUUCAGACUGAAGUCCUGGCACUGCAUCUUCAAGUCUUUGCAAAACUUUCCUAUCCAGAACUCCUAGUUUUGCCUGCAACCAAACCAAAAUCCUAUUCCAGACCUCUGUGCUAUGAGGUGUCUGAAGUUAAGUUUUUCAGCUGGGGGUCUAUUGUUUCGUGUCACGUUGUUAUAACUUUCAGGAAACUGUUGUUCUUUGGCUCGUAUAUACAACUUCAUACAGGGACCUGAUAUAGCUGCUCCUGAAGAGUCUGCAGAAGAAACUAUUUGCCAUCAUUUUUGCAAAUUAUGACUUUUUUGCCUUUGCCUGAUUUCACUGGCUGUUGCUCGCUCAUACGGCUUCAGUUGGAUCUGAGGCUCAGAAGUUUGGAAUCCUUCCUAUACCUAGGAGGACAGCCUUCACCAAAGCCUAUAGUCAGCCGAGCUAAAGCAUGGAGUAUUUUUAACAGUUCUUGAAACACGUUUUAAUUUUAGAGCUUUGAUUCUUUUUUUCCUGGCUGCAGGUUUGAAGGUUUUGCAACCAAUACCAUCUGUCACCUCGGGAUCCAUGCCCAAGUCCGAGCAUUAUGGCUGAAAAGAGGACUUGUCUUAUGAUACUAAGCUCCCAUCUAGACUUUCAAGACCCAAGUCAAUGCUUUAAACUUUAGUAGAGAGUCUAAGAUUGCACACACAAAAACCGUUUUCCCAGCAGCUUAUUUCCAUCUUUGAAAAAAUGAAUUAUUUUGCUUCUCUU
Long non-coding RNA from Struthio camelus australis, 3354 nucleotides. RefSeq lists it as uncharacterized. NCBI's taxonomy places the organism in Eukaryota, Metazoa, Chordata, Aves, Struthioniformes, Struthionidae. The record is from RefSeq and is a predicted model, not a curated record.